Ribosomal RNA from Sinocyclocheilus anshuiensis, 133 nucleotides. NCBI's taxonomy places the organism in Eukaryota, Metazoa, Chordata, Actinopteri, Cypriniformes, Cyprinidae. The record is from Ensembl.
ACUGACAGCUUACAGCUUGUUCAUUCGUUGUGUAUCUGUCCGCGGAUUAUCAUUAUUAAGAUAAUGUAGCAGGGUUGAGCCUGGUCAGUACCUGGAUGAGAGACCUCCUGGGAAAACUAGGUUGCUGUUGGAA